Molecule: ribosomal RNA, 879 nt
Filed under: uncultured archaeon
Lineage: Archaea
Description: bacterial SSU rRNA
Rfam family: Archaeal small subunit ribosomal RNA
Source: RNAcentral
GUGUCAGCAGCCGCGGUAAAACCAGCACCUUAAGUGGUCAGGAUGAUUAUUGGGCCUAAAGCAUCCGUAGCCUGCUUUAUCAGUUUUCGGUUAAAUCCACACGCUCAACGUAUGGGCUGCCGGGAAUACUGUAAAGCUAGGGAGUGGGAGAGGUAGACGGUACUCGGGAGGAAGGGGUAAAAUCCUUUGAUCUCUCGAUGACCACCUGUGGCGAAGGCGGUCUACCAGAACACGUCCGACGGUGAGGGAUGAAAGCUGGGGGAGCAAACCAGAUUAGAUACCCGGGUAGUCCCAGCUGUAAACUAUGCAAACUCAGUGAUGCAUUGGCUUGAUGCCAAUGCAGUGUUGCAGGGAAGCCGUUAAGUUUGCCGCCUGGGAAGUACGUACGCAAGUAUGAAACUUAAAGGAAUUGGCGGGGGAGCACCACAAGGGGUGAAGCCUGCGGUUCAAUUGGAGUCAACGCCAGAAAUCUUACCCGGAGAGACAGCAGAAUGAAGGUCAAGCUGAAGACUUUACCAGACAAGCUGAGAGGUGGUGCAUGGCCGUCGCCAGCUCGUGCCGUGAGAUGUCCUGUUAAGUCAGGUAACGAGCGAGAUCCUUGCCUCUAGUUGCCACCAUUAUUCUCAGGAGUAGUGGGGCGAAUUAGCGGGACCGCCGUAGUUAAUACGGAGGAAGGAAGGGGCCACGGCAGGUCAGUAUGCCCCGAAACUCUGGGGCCACACGCGGGCUGCAAUGGUAACGACAAUGUGUUCCGAAUCCGAAAGGAGGAGGUAAUCCUCAAACGUUACCACAGUUAUGACUGAGGGCUGCAACUCGCCCUCACGAAUAUGGAAUCCCUAGUAACUGCGUGUCAUUAUCGCGCGGUGAAUACGUCCCUGC